Molecule: non-coding RNA, 2211 nt
Filed under: Stephanopogon apogon
Lineage: Eukaryota; Heterolobosea; Eutetramitea; Pseudociliatida; Stephanopogonidae
Description: partial 18S ribosomal RNA
Rfam family: Eukaryotic small subunit ribosomal RNA (bases 1-857)
Source: RNAcentral
UUCUAACUAUAAACUAUAUCGACUGGAAAUUCCAGUAAMACAAACCCAUAGAUUAUUGGGGCAUCCUCGGGAAACCAAGUUUUUGGAUUCCAGGGGGAGUAUUAUCGCAAGUUUGAAACUUAAAAGAAUUGACGGAAAAGCACCACCAUGGUGUGGAUUCUGCGGCUUAAUUUGACUCAACACGGAAAAACUUACCAAGUUCGGACACAAGUAUGAUUGACAGGUUAAAGACCUUUCUUGAUUUUGUGACAGGUGGUGCAUGGCCAUUCUUAGUUCGUGGAGUGAUUUGUCUUGUUAAUUCAGAUAACGAACGAGACCUUCACCUAUUAAUUAGGUGAUCAGACGAUUCUUUCGUCAUAUAGUUUGAGUGAAAACAUGUAUCGGGAAAAAGGUUGCAUUUAUGUAGCUUUAAACUUCCUUAACUUCUUAAAGGGACAACGUCUGUUAAAAUAAGUCGUCGAAGUGGAAGGCAAUAAUAGGUCUGUAUGCCCUUAGAUAUCUUGGGUAGCACGCGUAAUACAAUGUUAGUGACAGAGAGUAAAAAUAAUGAUCAAGUCUUUGAUUUGGUCAAAAUCCUGGUUCGAUAGAAUUGGGGAAACUUGAUAACCGUUAACAUGACAAGGAUUGCACUUUGUAAAUAGUGCAUGAAUGAGGAAUACCUAGUAUACGCGAUUCAUCAAAUUGCAUGGAUUGCGUCCCUGCUUUUUGUACACACCGCCCGUCGCUUCAAUCGACACGGUUGAAAUUAUAAAGUUGAUAGAUAUUGGUGAAAUUCACUGAUUAAAGUUGAAUGAAUUGUUUUGAUUUUAGAAUGAAGAAGUCGUAACAAGGUUAUCGAAUAGCCUUAGUGAUCAAGUAAUUGAUUGCUAGUAUCGAAGAUCAUCAAGACUAAUAGUUCAAGAAUAGAGUCAAGCGGGAAUUGAUUCAAAAUAAACAGAUCUUGGGUUCUUGUUUAUUAGUCUUGUUGUUAGAUGCAACACCGUCAAAUUGCGGGGACGCCCUUAGAGCUCUAGAUACCGCGGCUCAUCGAAAGAUGGAGUGCAGCAGAUGGUGUAACGACCAUUGGAUGGUAAAAACUCUUAGAGAUUGGGUAAUCCGCAGCCAGCCCUACGUACAGCGAUAUAAGGGUGCAGUUCACAGACUAAAUGUCGUGGGUCAUUUGAGAAAUAAUGGUACUAUAUGUACUGGAAGAAUUGACAAGGGGGCUAGUUUGAUCUAGAUGAGAGAUUGAGAAUUGAUGAGAACGGGUCUUUGCAUUAAUAAUCCAAAGUGGUUGUAUCUAUUGGUUGUGAAAUAUUUAGAUACUGUUAAUAUUGUCCACGCUAAUCCAAUUAUUAUUGGAGGAAUGCCAAGAGACUGCACGGAUUAAACAAUUUUUUGUUUUGCAUAGAUGAACAGUCCUCACUGUAUUUAGAGCAGUAGUAUCCGUUAUUCAAAAUCUAAAAAAUUUCAACCAAUUUCAUCAUGAACUACCAAGAUCCAUUUAGAACCCACAAAUACACCCCUAAUUAUCAACCCGUUAAUCCAGAUAUGCAAUAUCCUGAUUUGACGAUAGCUUAUGACACAUUAACCAGGCAGCAGCAUGUCGCUGCUUUAAAGCAGACGGCAAAGAAUUCCUUUGACAAAGGAUUAAUUAACAAGGAGCAGUACGAAGCAAUUUCUAAGAAGUUCGCUUGGGAUCCAAAUGUAUGCUACAUAAGUGCCUACGCUUGCGAUAAAAAAAACUACACCCAAGUGAGGUUUCAAGGGCAAAAAUAUUAUUGUCACAAGUUGGCAUGUGAUUUAUUCGUUAAUGGUGAGUCGUAUUUAGACGACACAAUCAUGAAAGAGAAGCAUCACACUUGUGCCGCAACAGGAAAUGUUAUAAUCCUUAUCAUCUUAUUUGGGAAUCUGGUAAUGAAAAUAAAAGCCGAUUCGCUUGCAAGCAUUUUGUUAUCGACAAAAACCCUACAAAUAAUGAUGAAUAUAAUUGCCCUCAUAUAAUUCCUUGUUUAUUAACCACACUCAAACCUGCAAAAGCCUCUAAAAUUAAACGUCAAGCUCAGAUAAGCCAAUUCUUUCCAAAAGCUAAAUUUCCAAAAACCGAAUAAACCAUUUUCCUCAUUUGAUUAAGUUAUAGUCGGGCCGUUCUCGAAAGAGUUCUCGUUAGACAAAGUUCCUGUGAAGGAACCCGAGUCUGACGACAGUUAAUUAACUGGGAUUCCUCCGAUU